Molecule: non-coding RNA, 28 nt
Filed under: Mus musculus (house mouse)
Lineage: Eukaryota; Metazoa; Chordata; Mammalia; Rodentia; Muridae
Source: RNAcentral
UCCAAGGUGAAUGUUUAAUGUGUCUUGU